CCUGGCUCAGGACGAACGCUGGCGGCGUGCCUAAUACAUGCAAGUCGAGCGGACUWRUWGGAGCUUGCUCCWRYWRGUUAGCGGCGGACGGGUGAGUAACACGUGGGCAACCUACCURUAAGACUGGGAUAACUUCGGGAAACCGGAGCUAAUACCGGAUGACAYAAAGGAACUCCUGUUCCUUURUUGAAAGAUGGCYUCGGCUAUCACUUAYAGAUGGGCCCGCGGYGCAUUAGCUAGUUGGUGAGGUAACGGCUCACCAAGGCRACGAUGCRUAGCCGACCUGAGAGGGUGAUCGGCCACACUGGGACUGAGACACGGCCCAGACUCCUACGGGAGGCAGCAGUAGGGAAUCUUCCGCAAUGGACGAAAGUCUGACGGAGCAACGCCGCGUGARYGAUGAAGGCYUUCGGGUCGUAAARYUCUGUUGUUAGGGAAGAAYAAGUGCUAGUURAAUAAGCUGGCACCUUGACGGUACCUAACCAGAAAGCCACGGCUAACUACGUGCCAGCAGCCGCGGUAAUACGUAGGUGGCAAGCGUURUCCGGAAUUAUUGGGCGUAAAGCGCGCGCAGGCGGUUUCUUAAGUCUGAUGUGAAAGCCCMCGGCUCAACCGKGGAGGGUCAUUGGAAACUGRSAAACUUGAGUGCAGAAGAGGAAAGUGGAAUUCCMMGUGUAGCGGUGAAAUKCGUAGAKAUYKGGARGAACACCRGUGGCGAAGGCGRCUWUCUGGKCYRUWACUGACGCUGAGGYGCGAAAGCGUGGGGAGCAAACAGGAUUAGAUACCCKGGUAGUCCACGCUGUAAACGAUGAGUGCUAAGUGUUAGAGGGUUUCCGCCCUUUAGUGCUGAAGUUAACGCAUUAAGCACUCCGCCUGGGGAGUACGGUCGCAAGACURAAACUCAAAKGAAUUGACGGGGGCCCGCACAAGYGGUGGAGCAUGUGGUUUAAUUCGAWGCAACGCGAAGAACCUUACCAGGUCUUGACAUCCUUUGACCACUCUAGAGAUAGAGCUUUCCCCUUCGGGACAGAGUGACAGGUGGUGCAUGGUUGUCGUCAGCUCGUGUCGUGAGAUGUUGGGUUAAGUCCCGCAACGAGCGCAACCCUUGAUCUUAGUUGCCAGCAUUCAGUUGGGCACUCUAAGGUGACUGCCGGUGACAAACCGGAGGAAGGUGGGG
This 1177-nucleotide ribosomal RNA is filed under the name Alkalihalophilus pseudofirmus. RNAcentral's name for it is "Bacillus pseudofirmus partial 16S ribosomal RNA". It matches the Rfam family "Bacterial small subunit ribosomal RNA", at positions 18 to 1178 of the family's 1533-position model. The record is from RNAcentral. Lineage: Bacteria; Bacillati; Bacillota; Bacilli; Caryophanales; Bacillaceae.